GACGAACGCUGGCGGCGUGCUUAACACAUGCAAGUCGAACGGUGAACGAGGGAGCUUGCUCCCUCCGGAUCAGUGGCGAACGGGUGAGUAACACGUGAGCAAUCUGCCCCGAACUCUGGGAUAAGCGUUGGAAACGACGUCUAAUACCGGAUACGACGCGGGAGGGCAUCCUCUCCGCGUGGAAAGAACUUCGGUUCGGGAUGAGCUCGCGGCCUAUCAGCUUGUUGGUGAGGUAACGGCUCACCAAGGCGACGACGGGUAGCCGGCCUGAGAGGGUGACCGGCCACACUGGGACUGAGACACGGCCCAGACUCCUACGGGAGGCAGCAGUGGGGAAUAUUGCACAAUGGGCGCAAGCCUGAUGCAGCAACGCCGCGUGAGGGACGACGGCCUUCGGGUUGUAAACCUCUUUUAGCAGGGAAGGAGCGAAAGUGACGGUACCUGCAGAAAAAGCACCGGCUAACUACGUG
This 470-nucleotide ribosomal RNA is filed under the name uncultured bacterium. RNAcentral describes it as "partial 16S ribosomal RNA". It matches the Rfam family "Bacterial small subunit ribosomal RNA", at positions 28 to 507 of the family's 1533-position model. The record is from RNAcentral.